This is a long non-coding RNA of Passer domesticus (house sparrow), 7870 nucleotides long. RefSeq lists it as uncharacterized. The record is from RefSeq and is a predicted model, not a curated record. The transcript has 3 exons. NCBI's taxonomy places the organism in Eukaryota, Metazoa, Chordata, Aves, Passeriformes, Passeridae.
AGCAGCAGAAAAGAGAUAUCAGCAGUAGCGAAGACAUGAGAAAUAAAACAAUAAAGCUAUGUAGUUUAGCUUUCAAAGUUGCAAAAAAGUAUAUUUUAGUAAAUAUUUAGAAGGUUAAAUAUGAAUAGGGCUCUGUGCUUUGUCUUUUGUAAACGAACCAUUGUAUGAGAGAAAAAGUUGCUAUUGUUUUAACCAAAGCUACGUGUGCUUCAUGUGGUUGGAUAGAAUGACUGUCAAUAUGCUUUUGCUCUAUGUAACUGGCUGAAACUAGGUCUGAAACUAUCUUAUAAUAUGUUGUAACAUUAAGUUUCCUUGGCCUGCUGUCUGGAUAGCGAGCUGCUCGCAUCGAUCCAUUGCCAUAGCCAUGUAAUGAGACUGAUGCUUCUUAAAUAAACAGCUCACGACGCUGUUCAGGUGUGGUCCCGUUCCGUUCGUGUCUGUAAAUAGUUGCCGGCGUCAAAUGGUGCCCCUCUGUGAGGAGGACUUUAGACUAGAAUAAAAAAGAAAAUCUUGGAUAAACUCGGGUGCCGGAGACCCAGGAGGAAUACUUCAUCCCUUCGCCUUCUACAUCUGAUGUCUUUGUAAGUAAUCUUUUUCUAGGGGCUUCCUGGGUGACGAAAAUGAAAAAUCAUUUAUCUAAAACAGAAUGGGACGUUUUUUACCGGCUUGAGAAAAUGUUACAAGAUAAAGGACGUUCAGAUAUCACAAAAAAUGAACUGAAAGACUUAUUAGUCUGGGUAAAAGCGAACACUCAAAAUAUAGACUUGCAGUCUGCUUUUACCUUUGUUUUUUGGGAUCAAAUAAACUGGAAAAUCUAUAAUCUGUUCUCUCUCAAAAAGGACGAAACUAUAUACAAAUUCAUGCCUGUUUCCAGGGCUUUGUUAGAGUGUUUUAAACAAACUGAUGAUAAUACAGACAUUUCCAAACAACAGAACAAAAUAUCUUGUUCAGAUGCUUUAAAUCCACGUAAUACCGAGUCACUGUCCUUUUCUGUGGAAGUUUCGGGUUCCACUCCGAGUUCCUUUCCUUCCAAAGCGUCCAGUGUCAUGUCUUCCGGAGACGGCGAACCGGAACAGCUUCCAUCUCGGGUCACGUCCCCUGUUUCUUCCAGGCUUGUCAGCGUUUCUGCAGCUGAGAGCAUUCCUUCGCCCCUCCCUCUGGGAAAAAAUGGACUUUUGCCGUGUCGGGAAAGUUGUUCGGAGAUUUUGUUGCAUUCCGGGAAUGAGAAUGUGCGCGAGUUCUGUUCGGGGGUGGGUGCGAGCCGCGUGAAGGUGGUGGAUGAAAAUCUGCCGAGGUUUCGUGAUAAAGGAAUUGCAUGUUCUGAAACUGUACAAGCAGGGUUAGCCGAGAUGGGCUUGGGAUCUGUUUUGCCUGGUCUGGAAACUGUGGGGGUCACUCCUGCCACUGUUUCCUCUUCUCAUGCAGACACCCCUUUGGGUUUGAUUCAGGCGGGCUGUGUGUGUUGUCAUUCGAAAAAUCCUUUUCUAGUGAAUUGUUCUGUUAAGCCUCUGCCAGGUUUUUCUGUGGCUCACCAAGCUUUUGGUACAGAGGAUGAAAUAGCUGUAGCUGUAACUCUGCCUUCAGAGAACAGGGCAGGGGAAAAGAUAGAGGUAGCAGUCGACAACCAAGGUUUUAAAAAGAAAGCAGGAGAUUUUCGAAAGGUCCCUGUUGAGGCACCGACUGAGAUUUUGAGGGAUUUGAAAUCUGUCUCAUUUGUUGGUGAAGGAAAAAAUAGCAUUUCAAACCUGCAGUCUAAUGUUGGUAACCCUCCAGCUGAGUCCUCGCUGGCAGGGAGACAGUGUGAAACAUGCAGUAAGGUUUUAGAAAUUAUCAGAGAUAAAAAUUCAAGGACAAGUAGCCAAGCUGAGACAAAUUUUGGAUUUUUUCCACAAUCCAGAGAAUACAAUUCCUCCCCGGCCCCUCUUGGGAGGGCUCCGGAGGGGGUGUGGUCCACGGUUGAGCCCGCCUCUGUCCCUCUGGGCAGGGCUCCAGGAGAGGCGUGUUGUUCAGGUGUCUCUGCUAGGAAUUCGGAGGUGUGUUCUCCCGUCCAUCCUGGCAGAACUCCUGGGAAAGUUCGUUGCUACAGCAACGUCCCUGCCAAGAAUUCGGACACUGGCAGGGUUCCCGGAACAGCCACUGUCAGUGAAACUGUCAAUUCUAACCCUGAUCCUCCUUUAAAGCUGCCGGACUGGUCUAAUAUUAAUCAACAAUUAGAAAAAGAUUUGGAUUCAAAGAAACAACUCCUUGCAUUACCUGUAAGAUAUGGUCGUAAUGAUGUUAACCCUAGAUAUGAAAGUCUCUCUCACCAUGAUAUAAAGGAAUUACGUCAGGCUUUGAAAGAAAGUGGGUUCUCUUCUCCUUAUUUUAAUAGUGUGUUGAAAAGUAUUUUUAAUUCUCACGAUUUAGUCCCUGCUGAUUGUCGAAAUAUAGCUUCACUGAUUUUAACCAAUUCACAAUACCUUCUAUGGGAAUUACAAUGGAAAAAACUUCUUAAUAAGUUGGUUGAAAAAUAUGCAAAUACUGAUCAUGCAGAUUUAGAUGUUGUUCAAUUAGCAGGCGAUCCACCUUACCACAGAGCAGAAAAUCAAGCAGCAGAUUUGCCUCGGUCUGUAUUAGCUGAUAUUAAAGAUGCUGCUAGGGAAGCCUUCUUUUCAGUAGAGCCAGCUGGCACACAUGUAAAUUCUUAUACCUUGAUUAAACAAGGUGAAACAGAAUCCUAUGGUUCUUUUUUGGAUAGACUAACCCAAGCAGUUGAAAGGCAAUGUCCAGAUGAAAAAGCUCGUUCUUAUAUUGUCCAAAACCUUGCUUUUGUAAAUGCUAAUGAUGAAUGUAGAAAAAUUAUUUUAGCUUUGCCUGAUCAGCCUCCAACUGUUGUGCAGAUGUUAACAGCAUGCAGCAGAAUAGGUGGAUCACAACACCUUGCAAAUUUACAGGUCAAUACGUUAGAAAAAACAUUAGAAGAUAAUUUGGCAAAACGAAUGGAUAAAUUUGAAGAGUUUUUAGAAAAAAAGCUUGGGGAAAAUUCUGUUAACACUGCACAGUUGGAAUCUGAUAAAAGGUCUUGUUGCUUUGCUUGUGGUAAACCAAAUCAUGUUAAAAAGGAUUGUCCUGCGAAAAUAUUUCCACCAAAACAACUUUCUGUCUGCCCUCGAUGCCGAAAAGGGAGGCAUCUUGCUAAGCAUUGUCACUCUCUUUUUGAUAUUGAUGGCAAGCCUCUGUCGUUAAACUUCAAAAACAGCGCGCAUUACCACCGCGCUCAGACACAAGUAGUGGUACCCCCUGGCAGCCAGGUACCCACUCAAAUGGUGAUGGUACCUCAGUCAUUUGUGCCUCAAUCAACCAAUCCACAAACGAUCCCAGCUCAAUAUCCUCAAGCACAAGGAUCGAAUUGGCCUCCUCAAAAUUAAUUCCUCUAUUAAACAAUUUAUGCUGGGUGAACAUUCCUACUGGAAUUGUCAAUCCUUUUCAGCAAGGGCAAGAAUUUUUAAUUUUAGGCAAAGUCAAUAACAAAUUUCUUGAACUCUCAAUUCUUCCUACUGUUGUUUCAGUAAACUCUAAUGAAGAGCUAAAGAUUUUAGCUCUUGCACUUGAAGUUCCUAUGGUAAUUCCUCCAAAAACACCUAUUGCUAUUGCAUUUCUGUUUCCUGUGAAUACCCACAAGCAAAACAAUUUUCCAAAGAAUUCAAUCAUGUCUGUACCUUCCAGUACCUCAGGUCCAGAGGUCUUUUGGGUGCAAUGUUUGGACCAUGACCGACCUCAAUUAACUUGUAGCCUGACUCACUGUGGUAAAACAAUUUAUGUUACAGGCAUGCCAGAUACUGGUGCAGAUGUCACUGUAAUUUCUCACAUGUUUUGGCCUAAUGACUGGAAUUUAGUAGCUCCUUCAGGUUCCCUCACUGGGAUUGGAGGUGCUACUGUGUGUCUGCAAAGUGCAUCCAUGAUUAACAUUACAGGUCCUGAAGGAAAGACUGCAGCGGUGCGUCCUUUUGUUGUUCAGAAGCCUCUCACCGUCUGGGGAAGAGACGUUCUUUCCCAGUGGGGAGCGAAACUGGAAGUGUAAUGACAGCCACGUUGAAACCUGCCACUUUAAAGAUUACCUGGAAAACUGAUCAUCCUAUAUGGAUUGAUCAAUGGCCUUUGACAGAGAAAAAAUUAAAUAUCCUUAAUAAAUUGGUAAAGGAACAAUUACAGCAGGGUCACAUCGUCCCAACAAACAGUCCCUGGAAUUCACCAGUCUUCGUCAUCCACAAGAAAACAUCAGACUCCUGGAGGUUGCUUCAUGACCUGAGGAAGAUCAAUGAGGUGAUCGAAGACAUGGGACCUCUUCAACCUGGACUGCCUUCUUUAUCAAUGAUCCCAAGACACUGGCCUCUCGUCGUCAUUGAUUUAAAGGACUGUUUUUUCCACAUUCCACUUCAUCCUGAUGAUGCUCCAAGAUUUGCUUUUUCAGUUCCUGUCAUCAAUCGAACGGAACCCGUGCAGAGAUAUCACUGGAAAUCACUGCCACAAGGGAUGAAGAACUCGCCUAUAAUUUGUCAAUAUUUCGUCGCCCAAGCUUUGUCUCCUGCUCGACAGAAAUUUCCAAAAUCCGUCAUUCUACACUACAUGGAUGAUUUGCUCAUCACAGCUUCAACGCAGGAAGAGAUGGAGCAAACCCGUGCUUGUGUUGUCGCUGAAAUCCAAAAGGCUGGACUUGAAAUUUCUACAACAAAAAUCCAGGAAGUUCCACCCUGGAAGUAUCUGGGAUGGAAGAUGACUGAAACGACAAUAACACCGCAGAAGAUACAGAUCCAGACCAGUGUCAACAACCUGCAAGACUUGCAACAACUUUUGGGAGAAAUCAACUGGGUCAGACCUGUUUUGGGAAUCACCAACGAUGAACUGAGUCCACUUCUCGAUCUGCUAAGAGGAAGCUGUGACAUCACUUCCCCAAGAACCUUAACCCCUGAAGCUCGUGCUGCACUCGACAAGAUCACAGAAACUCUCCAAAGAAGACAAGCUCAUCGCUGCAUUCCUGAAAAACCUUUAUUUUUUGCAGUUUUAGGAGAAAAAAUGCAACUUUGUAGUCUCAUUUUUCAGUGGGACCCUUCUGAGCCUGAUCCUUUGUUAAUCAUAGAAUGGAUUUUUCUUCCCUACAGGUCUCCAAAGACAAUUUUCACAGUCUUAGAAAUGAUUGCACAAAUUGUAAUUAAGGCCAGAACCAGAUUGUUAACUUUAGCAGGCCAAGAAUUUGCAGUUAUCUAUUUGCCAUUGAAAAAAGACUAUCUUCAUUGGGCAAUGCAAAAUUCUGAUGAUUUACAGUAUGCUUUCUUGGGCUUCCCAGGUGCUUGUUCUGUUCACUACCCAUCUCACAAACUAUUGCAGGCAAAAUUGAGUUUUAGAGAAAAACCUAAAUUAAGUGAAGAACCUUUGAAUGCAGUCACUCUCUUCACUGAUGGCUCUGGCAAAAGUCACAAAUCGGUCAUAACUUGGUUGAACCAAAAAACUAAUGCUUGGGAGUCAGACAUUCAAAUAGUAGAAGGGUCACCUCAGAUUGUUGAGCUUGCUGCUGUGGUUCGAGCUUUUCAGCUCUUUCCUCAACCACUUCACUUGAUAACAGAUUCUGCUUAUGUUGCUAAUGUAGUUAGGAGAUUAGAAGGGUCAAUUUUAAAAGAUGUUAGUAAUGAUACUUUAUAUCAUUGGCUUUCAUGUCUUUAUACAACUUUGCAAUAUAGAACUAAUCCAUAUUUUGUUUCUCACAUCAGGGCUCAUUCUUCUCUUCCUGGAUUUUUAGUGGAAGGAAACGUGAGAGCGGACAAACUGACGAUGGUCAUUUCAAACACUUUGCCAAACAUUUUUGAACAAGCAAAACUGAGUCAUGCCUUUUUUCACCAAAACGCUCAAGCACUUGUGCGAAUGUUUCAAAUUACUAAAAGUCAAGCUAAAGCUAUCAUCAAUACUUGCCCUGACUGUCAGCUUGUGCAACCUCCUGUUUCCACAGGAGCAGUCAAUCCACGAGGUUUGCAAAGCCUGCAGUUAUGGCAAACAGAUAUCACUAAAUACCCUUCCUUUGGCAAAUUUAAAAACAUUCAUGUUUCAGUAGACACGUUCUCUGGUGCAAUGUUUGCUUCUCUUCACACAGGUGAAACAGGCAAUCACGCCUGUCAUCAUUUCCUGCAAGCUUUUGCUUCAUUGGGUGUACCCCAAGAAGUAAAAACUGACAAUGGUCCCGCAUACAUAUCUCAAAAAUUGGCCACAUUUCUAAAAGAAUGGGGUGUUCGUCACAUCUUUGGUAUUCCUCACUCUCCCACAAGCCAAGCAAUUAUUGAAAGGGCACAUCAAACACUAAAACGCAUUUUAGAUCAACAGAGAGGGGGAGCAGAGGUCACACCUCAGAUGAGACUGAACAAAGCUUUGUAUGUUUUUAAUUUCCUAAACAGUUCAUUUGCAGAACCUGAUCCACCAAUUUUUAGGCAUUUUUCAAAUAACACUCAGGCAAAACUGAAAGAAAAUCCACCUGUUUUAAUUAGAAACCCUGAAUCUGGACAAAUUGAAGAUCCUUUCCGAUUAAUAACCUGGGGCAAAGGGUAUGCUUCUGUCUCUACAGGUGCUGGAAUUAGGUAGGUCCCAGCCAAGAACGUCAAACCAUAUCGCACCCCAGAACGUGUUGACGAGUCCAGAACCGAGGAAGCAAGCACGCAGACGUGAGCCGAGCAGAGGGAUCCCGGGUCACGCCUGACGUUCCUUGUGCAUCGUGAACUUUGAAGCCCUGAUCGUUGCAAUGUCCGUGGUGGGAGGAACACUUCUGAUCAUGUUGGGGGUCUGCUGCUGCUGCUGCUGUUGUAAGAAAAAGAGCAAAAAGCCGGACAAGGAUGACGAGAGAGCAGCCAGGGAGCGGGAGAAGAGGCGGGUGCGGCAGGAGGAGAGGUGAGUUUGUACCACAGGCCCUGAGGCUGCAGGAUGACUUGGCUGCUGUCUGUGCCAUCAAAUGUGAUGCCAGGAGGCACGUGGGGCUCAGCACAUGCAGUCAGUGGCUGCUUCAGCCCUAGCUCACACACAAGCCUCAUUAGGAGUGUCACGCCGGGGUGACUCGUGGAUGUAGCAUCACAAGUUUUGUGUAUGCAGCUCCCUGAGGGCUGCUGAUGUGUGGGCUCUGGUGGUCCCCAGAGACUCCCUGAGGUGGCAGGCUGAGCAAACCUGCCAGCCUGGAGCUCCCUUGUUUGGGAAUAAGCAAGGAGCUCUGGCUCUUCUUGUUCCCUUUUGUACCACCAGUUACUGACUCAUGGCUUUUUUGUUUGCCUCUCGCAGGAGAGCAGAGAUGAAAUCACGGCAUGAUGAAAUCCGAAGAAAAUACGGUACAGUGCUGACAUGAGUGAUUCAAACUAAGCUUUAGAUGAAGCAGCCUCUGUAACUGUGCUCCUUGCCAUGGUUACAGCUGUAGAUGAGACCUGGCCAGCAGGGAAAAUAUGGUCCCUGCUUCUCUUGGCUCAGAGUAAGUGUAGAGAUGCUGGGGUCAUGGUGUGUGAGCCCAUACAAGGGCUACUUUUCCUGGGCAGGGAAGAGGAAGUGUAUAAUGUUCUCCAGAAUGUGUUCUCCAAGCUUACCACGUGGGAGAAGUUGAUGGAGCUUGACUAGAAGGUAGAAGCAGAAGCUGGCAGACACAGCACCAUCAUAAUCCUGUUACCCUUCAGACACAUCCCUCCAGUAAUUCUGUGGUUAGCCAGCAGUCUGAGGUGUGGGGCCAGGUAGGAAUCAGAAUGCCCACAGCUGCAGGAGCACAGAGCAGGCACCAAUCCCACCCCAGCUCCUCUGUGCCAGCAGUGGUGUCUCAGUCCCCUGGGGAUGGGAGUGCACAGCCUCCCUCCUGGGGCUGAACUGCCCCUCAGGUGAG